Pectinophora gossypiella (pink bollworm) is the source of this 566-nucleotide long non-coding RNA. RefSeq lists it as uncharacterized. NCBI's taxonomy places the organism in Eukaryota, Metazoa, Arthropoda, Insecta, Lepidoptera, Gelechiidae. The record is from RefSeq and is a predicted model, not a curated record. The transcript is spliced from 2 exons.
ACGACUCAUUGUGAUACUGACGCUCAUAAAAUAGGACACCGUCUUUUCAUGUACCUACAUAUAUACCUAUAUUCUAUACAUGUUUAAGAGUUACAUGUCAUAGUUACAGUUGAGGCUUUACGUGCCUAUAUUCUGACGUCAUCUCCGCAUUUAUUGAAGUCUGCUUCCCAAUUUAUCUACUUAAACAACAGCUAUGAAGGUUUAUACAUAUAGGCGUCGCGUGUGGACUCUGUGCGGUGGUUUUAGAGGCGGUUUUGGAUUGGAGGUGGAAGGCAGUUGGUGUGGCGCAGUGUGGUCGUGCGUGGUGCGUGGAGUGGCGGCGGCGGUGACGUCAGCCCAUGAUGUCACACCAGAAGGCCGCCGCGGCCGGCCUACUCCGCCGCCACGACAACCUCUAUCUAAUGCCAACCUUGAUUCUUCAUUAUUACCUUCUACCUAGUACUACGACAUUUAGGGAUACCAGCUGAUUCAUUAAGCAUGUCACAGCCUGUAAAUCCAUACAUAUACAUAAGUACUUAAGUACCUAUUGUAAUAUAGAAAAUAAAGACAUUACAUAAACACCCGUA